AGCUAUAGAGAAUCCGGUGAAAUCUCAAUAAGAGCUGAUUUCUUUCUUGUGAGAAUAAAGAAAAUAUAUUUUUGAGACCAGGAAUGUUCCUCUCGGGAGGUUCACAUUCACCAGUUCACUUCCUACCUCUGCGCUCCGUGAGCGAAUACAUAGUGUUCCACCAGAAUAUUCCCCCGCUCCAAACCCAGUCAACAUAACUAGAGCAGUUCCACCACGGGUGCUUUGAUCCUAUGGUGUUGUACACACUCACCGGAUAAAACAUGGAAUAUUACUGUCACCAUAGAAACACAAAUUGAAGAAAGCUCACAGUAAAG
Molecule: long non-coding RNA, 314 nt
Organism: Alosa sapidissima (American shad)
Lineage: Eukaryota; Metazoa; Chordata; Actinopteri; Clupeiformes; Clupeidae
Exons: 2
Source: RefSeq, a predicted model, not a curated record